UUUUGUGAAAGAUCACAGGUAUGUAGUUCUUAUGAACGAUCACAGAUUCACAGGUAUGUAGUUCUUAUAACUCUAAUUAUUUUUGCAUGCUAUUAAUUUAUGUUGUUUCCUGGUUUUGCUUAGGAUACCGCUUCUAAUAAGAACAUAAUUGGACAAACCUUAUUGCUUUCAUGCUAUUGAAAAGACAAUUGGCGCAUUCUCACUACUUGCAACUUCGGUUUUCAUCAGCUUUGGUGUGUGGUCUCAAAGAUCUUAGCUGAGGAAGCUGCUUGGGAAUUUGCAAAACAAAACAGAAUUGAUAUGUUUACACUUACAGUACAUGCAUGAAUAGUGAGUAGCCUUCUCCGAUAGCCAACUGUGAACACAAGCAUGGAGCCCCUUCUAAGACUCAUAAACGGUACAAUAAAGAAGGAUCUCUCAUAGAUGGGAUGAUAUUUAGAGAUGUUGCAAACGCACAUAUUCUAGCAUUUGAGAAUCCUUCCCUGCUCUCAAUCUUCUGGGAAAGUAAGCUUCUAACUAAAUUGCAGGAACUUUUAAUCAUAUGAAAUAUGUGGAAUAACAUUAUUCAUCAUUACAUAUAUUGCUACAUAGGACAAGCAUCUAAGUUUACCUCAGAAUGCCCAAUUGAAAUUCACCAGAAAAAAAAAUCCAAAAACGGAAACCUAGCCAAGAAAGUAGAGUGGAAACAAUAGAUAUAUAAGAACAAAUCCGGGAGCAGAUCACCCAAGUGAAUCCAGAUGCCUUCAAGUCUAAGCAGCCACACUGUGAAGCACGACGGUCUCGACGGUGAGCCCAGGCCCAAACCCAAAUAGAACACCCCACUCUAGCCCUUCUCCAGUGGUCUUGUGCCCAUUAGCUGCAGACUUCCUCCUCACCUCGUCCAAAAUAAACAACACACAAGCACUAGACAUGUUGCCAUACUCGGAUAAUAUAUGCCUUGUGGCUUCUAACUUUUCGGGUUUGAGGCCCAAUUUAGCCUCUACUUGGUCCAAAAUUGCAGGGCCACCCGGGUGUGCAAUCCAGAAUAGUGAGUUCCAGUCCGUGAUAUUCAAAGGUUUGAAGGCCUCGUUGAGGCUCUUCUCAACGUUCUUAGAAAUCAGCCCGGGAACAUCCUUGAGAAGGUGAAAUGUGAGCCCAACUUCACGAAGAUGCCCGUCGAUGGCU
Molecule: long non-coding RNA, 1164 nt
Filed under: Rosa chinensis
Lineage: Eukaryota; Viridiplantae; Streptophyta; Magnoliopsida; Rosales; Rosaceae
Description: sRNA RchiOBHm_Chr1g0316431
Source: RNAcentral